AUUGAACGCUGGCGGCAGGCCUAACACAUGCAAGUCGAGCGGAGCGGCGGACGGGUGAGUAAUGCCUAGGAAUCUGCCUGUUAGUGGGGUAUCACGUCCGGAAACGUGAGCUAAUACCGCAUACUAUCAGAUGAGCCUCGGUCGUAUUAGCUAGUUGGUGGGGUAAAGGGUCACCUAGGCGACGAUCUCUAGCUGGUCUGAGAGGCUGAUCAGCCACACUGUGACUGAGACACGGCCCAGACUCAUACGGGAGGCAGCAGUGGGGAAUAUUGCGCAAUGGGCGAAAGCCUGAUGCAGCAAUGCCGCGUGUAUGAAGAAGGCCUUAGGGUUGUAAAGUACUUUCAGCGGGGAGGCGGUACCCAAAGAAGAAGCAACGGCUAACUCCGUGCCAGCAGCCGCGGUAAUAC
This 407-nucleotide ribosomal RNA is filed under the name uncultured bacterium. RNAcentral describes it as "partial 16S ribosomal RNA". It matches the Rfam family "Bacterial small subunit ribosomal RNA", at positions 30 to 526 of the family's 1533-position model. The record is from RNAcentral.